RNAcentral lists this ribosomal RNA (662 nucleotides) under uncultured marine eukaryote. Its description in RNAcentral is "SSU rRNA". It matches the Rfam family "Eukaryotic small subunit ribosomal RNA", at positions 616 to 1284 of the family's 1831-position model. The record is from RNAcentral.
CAGUUAAAAAGCUCGUAGUUGGAUUUCGGAGUGGGCCAGUUGGUCCGCCGCAAGGUGUGUUACUGACUGGUUUGCUCUUCUUCGCAAAGACUGCGUGUGCUCUUGAGAGAGUGUGCGUAGGAUUUACGACGUUUACUUUGAAAAAAUUAGAGUGUUCAAAGCAGGCUAUUGCUUGAAUACAUGAGCAUGGAAUAAUGGAAUAGGACUUUGGUCCCAUUUUGUUGGUUUCUAGGGCCGAAGUAAUGAUUAAGAGGGACAAUUGGGGGCAUCCGUAUUUCGUUGUCAGAGGUGAAAUUCUUGGAUUUACGAAAGACGAACAACUGUGAAAGCACUUGCCAAGAGUGUUUUCAUUAAUCAAGAACGAAAGUUAGAGGAUCGAAGACGGUCAGAUACCGUCCUAGUUCUAACCAUAAACGAUGUCGACUAGGGAUCAGCGGGCGUUAUCGUACGACCCCGUUGGCACCUUACGGGAAACCAAAGUUUUUGGAUUCCGGGGGAAGUAUGGUUGCAAAGCUGAAACUUAAAGGAAUUGACGGAAGGGCACCACCAGGAGUGGAGCCUGUGGCUCAAUUUGACUCAACACGGGAAAACUUACCAGGUCCAGACAUAGUAAAGAUUGACAGGUUGAGAGCCCUUUCUUGAUCCUAUGGGGUGGUGGUGCA